CGAAAGCCUGACGGAGCAACGCCGCGUGAGGGAUGGAGGCCUUUGGGCUGUAAACCUCUUUUCUCAAGGAAGAAGAUCUGACGGUACUUGAGGAAUAAGCCACGGCUAAUUCCGUGCCAGCAGCCGCGGUAAUACGGGAGUGGCAAGCGUUAUCCGGAAUUAUUGGGCGUAAAGCGUCCGCAGGCGGCCGUUUAAGUCUGUUGUUAAAUCGUGGAGCUCAACUCCAUCACGGCAAUGGAAACUGUUCGGCUUGAGUAUGGUAGGGGCAGAGGGAAUUUCCGGUGUAGCGGUGAAAUGCGUAGAUAUCGGGAAGAACACCAGUGGCGAAAGCGCUCUGCUGGGCCAUUACUGACGCUCAUGGACGAAAGCCAGGGGAGCGAAAGGGAUUAGAUACCCCUGUAGUCCUGGCCGUAAACGAUGAACACUAGAUGUUGGGGGAAUCGACCCCCUCGGUGUCGUAGCUAACGCGUUAAGUGUUCCGCCUGGGGAGUACGCACGCAAGUGUGAAACUCAAAGGAAUUGACGGGGGCCCGCACAAGCGGUGGAGCAUGUGGUUUAAUUCGAUGCAACGCGAAGAACCUUACCAAGGCUUGACAUCCCGCGAAUCUCUAAGAAAUUAGAGAGUGCCUUCGGGAACGCAGUGACAGGUGGUGCAUGGCUGUCGUCAGCUCGUGUCGUGAGAUGUUGGGUUAAGUCCCGCAACGAGCGCAACCCACGUUUUUAGUUGCCAGCAUUCAGUUGGGCACUCCAGAAAGACUGCCGGUGACAAACCGGAGGAAGGUGUGGACGACGUCAAGUCAUCAUGCCCCUUACGCCUUGGGCUACACACGUACUACAAUGCUGCGGACAAAGAGUAGCGAUCUUGCGAAAGUUAGCUAAUCUCAUAAACCGUGGCUCAGUUCAGAUCGUAGGCUGCAACUCGCCUACGUGAAGGAGGAAUCGCUAGUAAUCGCAGGUCAGCAUACUGCGGUGAAUACGUUCCCGGGCCUUGUACACACCGCCCGUCACACCAUGGAAGUUGGCCAUGCCCGAAGUCGUUACUCUAACCUUUUGGAAGAGGGCGCCGAAGGCAGGGCUAAUGACUGGGGUGAAGUCGUAACAAGGUAGCCGUAGCGGAAGCUGCGGCUGGAUCACCUCCUAA
Molecule: ribosomal RNA, 1141 nt
Filed under: Candidatus Synechococcus spongiarum
Lineage: Bacteria; Bacillati; Cyanobacteriota; Cyanophyceae; Synechococcales; Synechococcaceae
Description: bacterial SSU rRNA
Rfam family: Bacterial small subunit ribosomal RNA
Source: RNAcentral